This 292-nucleotide ribosomal RNA is filed under the name uncultured bacterium. Its description in RNAcentral is "partial 16S ribosomal RNA". It matches the Rfam family "Bacterial small subunit ribosomal RNA", at positions 8 to 290 of the family's 1533-position model. The record is from RNAcentral.
AGAGUUUGAUCAUGGCUCAGGACGAACGCUGGCGGCGCGCCUAACACAUGCAAGUCGAACGGAGUUGUGUUGAAAGCUUGCUGGAUAUACAACUUAGUGGCGGACGGGUGAGUAACACGUGAGUAACCUGCCUUUCAGAGUGGAAUAACGUUUGGAAACGAACGCUAAUACCGCAUAACAUGAGAGAACGGCAUCGUUCUUUCAUCAAAGAUUUUAUCGCUGAGAGAUGGGCUCGCGGCCGAUUAGGUAGUUGGUGAGAUAACAGCCCACCAAGCCGACGAUCGGUAGCCGG